Molecule: long non-coding RNA, 587 nt
Organism: Triticum aestivum (bread wheat)
Lineage: Eukaryota; Viridiplantae; Streptophyta; Magnoliopsida; Poales; Poaceae
Exons: 4
Source: RefSeq, a predicted model, not a curated record
GCACAUAUCUGCUUCUGUUCCUCCUCUAGUUUUCUCCAAGCAGCCUGACAAGCAGUCCAAGAAGGUCACAUGUGCAGGACACAUCAAUGUUGAUUGCCUGUAAAGUUUUCCUAUGGGAAUACUAGUGGCUAUCGAUAUUAAGAACUUAAUCAUCCUCACGGGUUCCCUUAAAGUUCUACUCAGCUAAGCCCAGAACACAUCAACGUUGGUUGCCUGUAAAGUUAUUCUAUGAGAAUACUAAUGACUAUCGAUAUUAAGAACUUAAUCAUCCUCACGGGUGCCCUUAAAGUUCUACUCAGCUAACCCCAGAUUGUUGGCUUUGGGUGUUGAUCUUGCUGUGAAGUUUGUAUCUAUUAUGCGGUAAAGUUCCUUCACUUCACUUACACUACUUGAGAGCUUCAGCUGCCGGUCGAUCUUCAGCUUCUUUGAGUUUACCGUACACGUAGAUGGAUAUUGAUUUUCUUGGAAUUCGGUUGUCCAAUUGGUGCCUUGAUGGAUAGUGAAUUGUUGCGUCAAGACCAACCGUCCUUACCUUCUGUGUUGAGUACACUACAUUUGGAAGGCCAAGCUGCUGCAUCAUAGCGUCC